AUCGCUUCUCGGCCUUUUGGCUAAGAUCAAGUGUAGUAUCUGAACACUGUGUACACAUUCAAGACUUGGUGGUGGUGGGUCUCCUUCGCCAUAAAGCAAAGCACUCUUU
Molecule: small nuclear RNA, 109 nt
Filed under: Canis lupus familiaris (dog)
Lineage: Eukaryota; Metazoa; Chordata; Mammalia; Carnivora; Canidae
Also listed under: 1 other name
Description: U2 spliceosomal RNA (ENSCAFG00000028054.2)
Rfam family: U2 spliceosomal RNA
About the family: U2 is a small nuclear RNA (snRNA) component of the spliceosome (involved in pre-mRNA splicing). Complementary binding between U2 snRNA (in an area lying towards the 5' end but 3' to hairpin I) and the branchpoint sequence (BPS) of the intron results the bulging out of an unpaired adenosine, on the BPS, which initiates a nucleophilic attack at the intronic 5' splice site, thus starting the first of two transesterification reactions that mediate splicing.
Source: RNAcentral